GAUGAACGCUGGCGGCAUGCCUAAUACAUGCAAGUCGAGCGAACAGACGUGUUUCUUGCUCCUCAGACGUUAGCGGCGGACGGGUGCGUAACCCUUGGAUAACCUCCCUAUCUGACUGGGAUAACUUCUGGAAACCGGGGCUAAUACCGGAUAAUAUAUUCCACCUCCUGGUUCAAUCGUGAAUGACUGUUUUGCUGUUACUUCUAUAUCUUUCCGCGACGCAUUAGAUAGUUGGUAAGGUAACGGUUUACCAAGGCAACGAUGCGUAGCCGACCUGGGAGGGGGAUCGGAGCCACUGGGACUGAGACACGGGCCAGACUCCGACGGGAGGCAGCAGUAGGGAAUCAUGCGAAAUGGGAGAAAGCAAGACGGAGCAACGCGGCAAGGGUGAAGAGGGUAUUCGGAUCGUAAAACACUGUGAUUAGGGAAGAACAAAUGUGUAAGUAGCAAUGCAAGUCAUGACGGUACCUGAUCAGAAAGCAACGGCUAACUACGUG
RNAcentral lists this ribosomal RNA (497 nucleotides) under uncultured bacterium. RNAcentral describes it as "partial 16S ribosomal RNA". It matches the Rfam family "Bacterial small subunit ribosomal RNA", at positions 28 to 507 of the family's 1533-position model. The record is from RNAcentral.